UACGUAGGUCCCGAGCGUUGUCCGGAUUUAUUGGGCGUAAAGCGAGCGCAGGUGGUUUAUUAAGUCUGGUGUAAAAGGCAGUGCCUCAACCAUUGUAUGCAUUGGAAACUGAUAGACUUGAGUGCAGGAGAGGAGAGUGGAAUUCCAUGUGUAGCGGUGAAAUGCGUAGAUAUAUGGAGGAACACCGGUGGCGAAAGCGGCUCUCUGGCCUGUAACUGACACUGAGGCUCGAAAGCGUGGGGAGCAAACAGG
Molecule: ribosomal RNA, 252 nt
Filed under: uncultured bacterium
Lineage: Bacteria
Description: partial 16S ribosomal RNA
Rfam family: Bacterial small subunit ribosomal RNA
Source: RNAcentral